RNAcentral lists this long non-coding RNA (332 nucleotides) under Oryza brachyantha (malo sina). RNAcentral's name for it is "long non-coding RNA (OBRA_LNC002246)". The record is from RNAcentral. Lineage: Eukaryota; Viridiplantae; Streptophyta; Magnoliopsida; Poales; Poaceae.
CUCUCUGCACUAAUCUUGUAGAAAUAUUAGACAAUUAUGGCAAAUCACCAGUCCUCCCUUCUGAGGAAGUUUCUAGAGAUGAACAUACAGGUAAUUGCACAGCCCUCGUUUUCAUGCUCACAGAUAAGCUAUAAUAAUGGCUCAUACCACGUGUGCUAGCAGCUGAGCUAGCUAACUAAAGUUAUCGAGAUUCUAGCCCAACUGACAGGUUGACAGGGUUCACUUGUCCCACCGACAUGUUGACAGGGAAACCAUUCAAGUGAUGAUUGUGUUAGCAUUGUCAUUCUAUCAUUAUCUGCUCAAUUAUUCUUCAUAGGUACACGCACAUAUUC